UGGGAAUUUGGACAAUGGGCGAAAGCCUGAUCCAGCAAUGCCGCGUGUGUGAAGAAGGCCUUCGGGUUGUAAAGCACUUUUGUCCGGAAAGAAAUCCUUGGCUCUAAUACAGUCGGGGGAUGACGGUACCGGAAGAAUAAGCACCGGCUAACUACGUGCCAGCAGCCGCGGUAAUACGUAGGGUGCAAGCGUUAAUCGGAAUUACUGGGCGUAAAGCGUGCGCAGGCGGUUUGCUAAGACCGAUGUGAAAUCCCCGGGCUCAACCUGGGAACUGCAUCGGUGACUGGCAGGCUAGAGUAUGGCAGAGGGGGGUAGAAUUCCACGUGUAGCAGUGAAAUGCGUAGAGAUGUGGAGGAAUACCGAUGGCGAAGGCAGCCCCCUGGGCAAGUACUGACGCUCAUGCACGAAAGCGUGGGGAGCAAACNGGAUUAAUNCCCUGGUAGUCCACGCCCUAAANGAUGUCAACUAGUUGUUGGGGAUUCAUUUCCUUAGUAACGUAGCUAACGCGUGAAGUUGACCGCCUGGGGAGUACGGUCGCAAGAUUAAAACUUAAAU
Molecule: ribosomal RNA, 555 nt
Filed under: uncultured bacterium
Lineage: Bacteria
Description: partial 16S ribosomal RNA
Rfam family: Bacterial small subunit ribosomal RNA
Source: RNAcentral